UGCAAGUCGAACGAUGAUCUCCAGCUUGCUGGGGGGAUUAGUGGCGAACGGGUGAGUAACACGUGAGUUUCUGCCCUUGACUCUGGGAUAAGCCUGGGAAACUGGGUCUAAUACCGGAUAUGACUGCUCCGCGCAUGCGGUGGUGGUGGAAAGCUUUUGCGGUUUUGGAUGGACUCGCGGCCUAUCAGCUUGUUGGUGGGGUAAUGGCCUACCAAGGCGACGACGGGUAGCCGGCCUGAGAGGGUGACCGGCCACACUGGGACUGAGACACGGCCCAGACUCCUACGGGAGGCAGCAGUGGGGAAUAUUGCACAAUGGGCGAAAGCCUGAUGCAGCGACGCCGCGUGAGGGAUGACGGCCUUCGGGUUGUAAACCUCUUUCAGUAGGGAAGAAGCGAAAGUGACGGUACCUGCAGAAGAAGCGCCGGCUAACUACGUGCCAGCAGCCGCGGUAAUACGUAGGGCGCAAGCGUUAUCCGGAAUUAUUGGGCGUAAAGAGCUCGUAGGCGGUUUGUCGCGUCUGCUGUGAAAGACCGGGGCUCAACUCCGGUUCUGCAGUGGGUACGGGCAGACUAGAGUGAUGUAGGGGAGACUGGAUUCCUG
RNAcentral lists this ribosomal RNA (602 nucleotides) under actinobacterium KV-421. RNAcentral describes it as "bacterial SSU rRNA". It matches the Rfam family "Bacterial small subunit ribosomal RNA", at positions 56 to 671 of the family's 1533-position model. The record is from RNAcentral. Lineage: Bacteria; Bacillati; Actinomycetota; Actinomycetes.